This 606-nucleotide long non-coding RNA is filed under the name Setaria viridis. RNAcentral's name for it is "long non-coding RNA (SVIR_LNC011383)". The record is from RNAcentral. Lineage: Eukaryota; Viridiplantae; Streptophyta; Magnoliopsida; Poales; Poaceae.
CAAGUCGAUGAGGGAGCCCGGGGGCUACGAGGUGAUCAAGAAGGCGAUCGAGAAGCUGGGCAAGCGGCACAAGGAGCACAUCGCGGCCUACGGCGAGGGCAACGAGCGCCGCCUCACGGGCCACCACGAGACCGCCGACAUCAACACCUUCAAAUGGGUAGGAUGAUGAUCGAAUGCCGCCAUGGCUUCCCUGCGAUUUCUGCUCGUUGCUCACCCUACCGCUGCGUGCGUGCUGCAGGGCGUGGCGAACCGCGGCGCGUCCAUCCGGGUGGGGCGCGACACGGAGAAGGAAGGCAAGGGCUACUUCGAGGACCGCAGGCCGGCCUCCAACAUGGACCCCUACGUCGUCACCGGCAUGAUCGCCGAGACCACCAUCCUGGGGAAGGGGAACUGAGACUGACAGAUGAUCGUCAACGCCUGGACACGCAUCAAAACCGUUGGUGUCAGUUGGAUUUUCCGAUUUCCGAUUCCGAUUCCGAUUCCCCGUCGACGAGGCCUUUGAUGGCCCGUCCGUUUUGGGGUUGUGCGUCCUAAACCACUUUCGCUCCCCUGUGACACUGUGUACUCUGAAUGAAAAAGUCUGAAUAAUGGCUGUAGCGGAUUUGC